UCCAUGCAGGGAAUACAAUUCGCAUCAUCAGUUUUCUUACUACCUCUUAGUGGGUGUGACAUGAUUUUAGAGGUGCAAUGGCUAUUUACUUUGGAAGAUAUCAAGUGGAAUUUCAAGCAAUUUAAAAUAGAAUUUUGGUGGCAAAAGCGACUAGUCACUCUACAAGGUAUUAGCUCCUCCCAAAUCACAUCAAUAGAGCCACAACAACUC
RNAcentral lists this long non-coding RNA (210 nucleotides) under Elaeis guineensis (African oil palm). RNAcentral describes it as "long non-coding RNA (EGUI_LNC030557)". The record is from RNAcentral. Lineage: Eukaryota; Viridiplantae; Streptophyta; Magnoliopsida; Arecales; Arecaceae.